Molecule: long non-coding RNA, 1025 nt
Organism: Xenopus tropicalis (tropical clawed frog)
Lineage: Eukaryota; Metazoa; Chordata; Amphibia; Anura; Pipidae
Exons: 3
Source: RefSeq, a predicted model, not a curated record
AUCUUUAGUCAUUUUGUGCCUUAUAUAGAUUCUUGAUAGAUGAUAGGCCGUUAAUUCUAUAAAAUAACAUCACUUUUGUUUAUCCCAUUCCCAGGCUCUUCCGGAGACCACCAUCUGCCUGGUAAUCAGAAAAGGACCCCAUACAUUAUUACUAUUCGCUCCCCCUUUUUUAUUUACUAAUGUUCAUAUUUUGUUUGUUUUCAUCGCACCUUUUUUAGCCCUAAAAAUAGAAUAUUUUACUAAUUACACCAUUUGUUUGUAAUUUACCAAGUGUAAAAACACUAAUACAAAAUGGCGCUGUGUAAAAGCUGUCAGUGGGAGCCGCGCCGGCCAAUCGUAACAAUCUGUAUUGGAUUUUUGGCUCGAGAGGUUUUUGUAUUGAUUUGUAUUGAAUAUUGUAUAUUGAAUAUUCUUGUGCAAAUGAGGUUUUCGCACUCUUAUUUGCAUUCGUUCUGCGGUUUUAUUCCUUCGUGUUUUUUACAUUGGAAUCUUUUAAUAAAUAAGAAAUUUGUGAGAUUUUUGUGGGAGAAUUUAGAUAAAUCUGCCGGUAACUCGGCCCAGUAACAUGGUUCCCUGAUCCCCUUCCAUAUCGGCCUCUGUGCAUCCCAUGUUUGUAUCCCCGCGCCACUUUUCCCAGUGAAUCUGAUCUAUUUUCCUCUCUUAAUCAGGUUCCGUCGGUUGGUUGUGGCGACACCACCUGCCCAGAGCCACCGACCCCUGGUACCGACAUCUGCCAGGUAAGUAGUAAAGGAACUAUUUUAUUUUCUGAGUUAAUUAAUGAUAAUGAGCUACAGAACUAUAGUAAGUUGAUCCCAUAACUAAUCGUAUCGCUCUUCAUCAGGAGGAGCCAGAGCAGGUUGCUGAGCCUGGCGAGGAGAUUGAGGAGCGCCCAGAAACACCCGGGGCUCAGACUCGCCAGGAGGAACCAGCUGACAAUCCCUCCGACAUUAACACCUGUCAGGUAAGUAAAAGGGAAGGGAGACAUAUUGUGAAAAUGGCGCCACUCAGUAUUAUAUUAUUUUCCU